AACGAACGCUGGCGGCAUGCCUAACACAUGCAAGUCGAACGAGACCUUCGGGUCUAGUGGCGCACGGGUGCGUAACGCGUGGGAACCUGCCCUUAGGUUCGGAAUAACUCCCCGAAAGGGGUGCUAAUACCGGAUAAUGUCUUCGGACCAAAGAUUUAUCGCCUUUGGAUGGGCCCGCGUUGGAUUAGCUAGUUGGUAGGGUACAAGCCUACCAAGGCGACGAUCCAUAGCUGGUCUGAGAGGAUGAUCAGCCACACUGGGACUGAGACACGGCCCAGACUCCUACGGGAGGCAGCAGUGGGGAAUAUUGGACAAUGGGCGAAAGCCUGAUCCAGCAAUGCCGCGUGAGUGAUGAAGGCCUUAGGGUUGUAAAGCUCUUUUACCCGGGAUGAUAAUGACAGUACCGGGAGAAUAAGCUCCGGCUAACUCCGUG
RNAcentral lists this ribosomal RNA (433 nucleotides) under uncultured bacterium. RNAcentral's name for it is "partial 16S ribosomal RNA". It matches the Rfam family "Bacterial small subunit ribosomal RNA", at positions 29 to 507 of the family's 1533-position model. The record is from RNAcentral.